GACGAACGCUGGCGGCGUGCUUAACACAUGCAAGUCGAACGGAAAGGCCCUGCUUUUGUGGGGUGCUCGAGUGGCGAACGGGUGAGUAACGCGUGAGUAACCUGCCCUUGACUUUGGGAUAACUUCAGGAAACUGGGGCUAAUACCGGCUAGGAGCUCCUGCUGCAUGGUGGGGGUUGGAAAGUUUCGGCGGUUGGGGAUGGACUCGCGGCUUAUCAGCUUGUUGGUGGGGUAGUGGCUUACCAAGGCUUUGACGGGUAGCCGGCCUGAGAGGGUGACCGGCCACAUUGGGACUGAGAUACGGCCCAGACUCCUACGGGAGGCAGCAGUGGGGAAUAUUGCACAAUGGGCGGAAGCCUGAUGCAGCAACGCCGCGUGCGGGAUGACGGCCUUCGGGUUGGAAACCGCUUUCGCCUGUGACGAAGCGUGAGUGACGGUAAUGGGUAAAGAAGCACCGGCUAACUACGU
This 467-nucleotide ribosomal RNA is filed under the name uncultured bacterium. RNAcentral describes it as "partial 16S ribosomal RNA". It matches the Rfam family "Bacterial small subunit ribosomal RNA", at positions 28 to 506 of the family's 1533-position model. The record is from RNAcentral.